UGAAUAACUCCCCUAAAUGGCCCAAGCCACCACCUUAAAUAACAUCUCCAGCCAACCAGUUACACUGAAAAUAAUGACACAGAAGGAAGAGGAAGACAGGGCAACCCAUAGUCCCAGUUCUUUUCAGUCCUCUCUUGCUACUCAUCGGUAGCAAAAGGUACAGAGUUGGUGGAAUGCGUGUGUAUCAAGAAGUGACAUAAAAACAGGUUUUAGCUGAGCCAACGACAACAGAUUCAAGACUGCAGUUGCCUGAUGGUGAGAGAACAGUGCUUCUGGCUCCCAUCACGAGCUCCAUCACCAGCUUGGAUUCUCAUGAGGCUAUACCAGGAAAGGGAUGCUAUGAAGUUUGGGGCUCCAUGGAGAAAAGAUACUUUUCUGAAAAUCAGUGUUUCAAUAGAAAGCACCUAUGGAUGGAUGGUGAGUGAAAACAACAUUCGAGAAGGCUUUUGAAUCACAGAGUAUCUUCUCCUUAGCUGAGGAGCUUGUCGAAGAGAAUGAUUCGAGUAAUCACAGGAUUAUCAUUCUACUUCUCUUGUCCCUGUACCGAGUUGUCAUAUCUCGUCCGAACUAGAACAAGAAGGAUUUGCUACAGAGUGCCUUCCACGUGGCAUCGUGCACAAGGCUGUCAGUGCUACAAAAAUAAGCAAAUUAAAUCCAAAGACACGGCUCCUGAUUUGAGGGGCUUGUUGGGAAUUUAGACAUAGAAAACUGAAACCAUUCCGGGCAGUCAGAAAAGCUACUGAUCAAUCCCUAGGGUGGCUGUGCUAUCAUUCAGACAGAUCACAUGCUCUGUUCUUCAGACGCUUAUCAGACUCUGGUAAAGAGAUAAAGAGUUGUGUGGUGUGCGUUAGGGGUACCAAAAGCAUCUGUCUUCUUAGGGUACACAUGCUGAACCCUUCAUGGAUCCCCCUAGUUUCCCCUGGACUGGUCAUCCUUUUUAUGGAUCUCAUUAACCCUCCUGGGCCUGUCACAUCUUACUUUUCAAAGAAUUGCUGAUGGCCUUAGUACAUAUCUGUCUGGAUGUGUUUUCAUUAACUUACCUAAACCCGGAAGCUUUAACUUUCCAAUAACUUACUAGGCUUGAUGCAAAUAGGGGGAAGAAAACUGUGUUAGCCUGUUGUCAAUAUGCCAUGCUGAAAGCAUCCCCCAACACGUGUCAGCUCUGCAGCUCACUUAACUUUUCCAGAUGUGGCUGGAUGGGCUGCCUUGUCGGUGACAUUGCAGAUGAAUGGCCACAGUCCACUAUAGGCGGAUGAACAUGGGUACCUUUGAUGUGAUGGGGCGACUCUUCUCAUCUAUUAGCCAGAAGGAAAAGCCAUUUUCUUCUGUUGAGCCCUCAGUUUAUUCCCACCUCAAGGAGACCGUAUAAUUAGCGUAUAUGAACACUCAGAACCGGGGUCUGGGGCUCUCAUUCCAGCCCACUGAAUGUGUAGCCAGCAGCCCCAGGGGAGUCAAAAUAAAACUUAUGCCAAGGAGAUCUGUAGGCUGUUCUUUUACCAGGCCUGAUGUCCAUAUAUGUAGGAAAAGGGUUACAGUUAACCUGUUUAUCCAAACUUUCAUCCCCAACACACAAAGCAAGGCACCUAUGUCCCUUACUCUCAGAUACAGUUCAUCUUCUCACAACCUGCAUAUAGAAAUUUCAGAAUAUAAUAGCUCUCAUCCUCCAGGGAGGAAAACAGUGAUUGGAAAUACAAAGAAGAAAAAGAGCUGUUUAGCCUUCUAUCUUCCUGGCAGAGGUAGUAAAAGAACUUUCUGGUUUUCUUCUUCAGCAGGAUGCACUGAACUUUGGCAUCACAGUAGCACUGUUUUAAAAUAUGCUUUGUUUUGAAGUAUUUAGGCAAGUUAUUGAACCUCCAGGAACCUUGGCUUGCUCAUCUGGAAAAUUGAGGUAAUACCUUGCAGAGAUAUGACAAGGGCAAAGACCACAAAUGUAAAACCACAGCAUAAUACUUGCCACAUCAUAGGUCUCAGUAUUUAUAGCCAUUUGUAGCAGUACAGUGGAAAUCAUUUUUUUCUUUUGGUUGGUACACAGUACAUGAGGCUGGUAAUUAAUGAGCCCGUAGGAGCCUGGACAUUUAGAAGUUACAUUUGGAGGCUGACAACAGGCUUAACACAGAAUUUCAUAGGUCUAGUGACCAACUUAUUUGAGGAAGGUUAUCUUGUCCCAGUCCUUUUCCAGGGUUGACAGCAAAUUAAAAUCUAUAUUUGCAAGCAAUUGAUUAUGGAAGGUCAGUUGUUGAAAACAACUUUGUACCUUUUUAAAAGAUUCACUAAAGAGUUUUGGGGUUUUUUUUUCAGAGUUGGGUUUUUUUUUAAGUGACAAUCUCCUCCCCGAAAGUGCAUUACAAUCUUAAUAUUAUUUUACUUAGGGAAUGUCAAGGGGUCCAUGCAGUUCACAUCUUUGAAAGCUGUGACUGGGUAAAGUUCAUAAAGACCUAAAGGGUCAAAGUGGGAAAACAGUUUCAGAGGCAGGUGUAGUAAAAUUACUUUUAUCCUUGUGUUUCCCUGCAGAGGAGUGACUGGGCUUACCAGAUCAUAUAGGUCCUUGUCCAAAGCAUCUCGUGUUUAACGUGGUGCUCUGGCAGCAUGGCUCCCAGACCCUUCAAUCAGCCUGGGCUAGAAGACAAGUAUUCUGAUUAGAAGUCUACUACACUUCGGCUUACCAAGUGCGUGCCCAGAACCUGGCAGUGUUUGGCGCAAGAUGAAGACAGUGAGUCAAUGGGAGGACAGACAACUUUUCCAGGGUCGAACAGCUACUGAGUGACGGCGGCUGGUAUUCAAAUCCAGGGAGGCUGUAUCUUUGGUUUGUUAAUGGACACAUUCAUUUUUGCCACUUGGAUAAGUUGGACUGUCAGGAAUGCACACGAAGAUGGCUUACUAGGAGGACACGGAAUUUGCGUCUCCUCACAACUAGGGCACCUACCAGGCACCGGUGGGUGACCACGGUCACCUAAGGGGACGGGAGGAACCCCCAACGACUGGGCCCUCUGGGGAAUCUCAAAGAUGUGUGCUUCCAACUUUGUAAAACGAGAAGUGCUAGAAACAAUUAGAUUUAUUUGAUAUGUUACUAUUGAUGAGCUACAUUGGAAGAGCUGUCAAGUCAGAAGAGAUGCUUAACCAUCCUGAGGUUAAAUCUGUAUGGCUAAAAUGUUAUUAAUGUAAGUAUUUCACAAAUUGUAUGCUAUAUGCUAAGUAUAGAGAUUUGUCAAUACCCUCACUGUCUAUGAUAGGUUUUAUCUAUCUGAUCUCUGGUGCUGCUUUGCCUGAUAUCAGAAAAUGGUAUAGGUUAUCAGUCACAAUUUCAGUUAAUUUAAAAAACAUUAACUUGGCUGCAUCUUUACUUCUUUAGUUUAGAUCUUUUAUCUUCUAGGCCACUAUAUGUCAAUAGGAAUCCAUACUGCAUAUCUAUGGAGUUUUAUUAAUAUACAGAUGUUUAGGACCUACCCUAGACUUAUUGGAUAUUUUUACUUGAUAUAUUUUUUGACAUAUUCUUACUAUAUGUUUGGUAUAGUCAUGGUAUAUUAUGUCUCAGGAUUACUUUGUCUUAAGAUU
Delphinapterus leucas (beluga whale) is the source of this 3552-nucleotide non-coding RNA. The record is from RefSeq and is a predicted model, not a curated record. NCBI's taxonomy places the organism in Eukaryota, Metazoa, Chordata, Mammalia, Artiodactyla, Monodontidae.